Molecule: non-coding RNA, 45 nt
Organism: Schistosoma curassoni
Lineage: Eukaryota; Metazoa; Platyhelminthes; Trematoda; Strigeidida; Schistosomatidae
Source: Rfam
AUUCAGCUGACGAGUCCCAAAUAGGACAAAACAUGUGUCCUGGAU